This 406-nucleotide ribosomal RNA is filed under the name uncultured bacterium. RNAcentral describes it as "partial 16S ribosomal RNA". It matches the Rfam family "Bacterial small subunit ribosomal RNA", at positions 30 to 526 of the family's 1533-position model. The record is from RNAcentral.
AUUGAACGCUGGCGGCAGGCCUAACACAUGCAAGUCGAACGAGUGGCGGACGGGUGAGUAAUGUCUGGGAAACUGCCUGAUGGAGGGGGAUAACUACUGAACACGGGCGCUAACACCGCAUACCAUCAGAUGUGCCCAGAUGGGAUUAGCUAGUAGGUGGGGUAAAGGCUCACCUAGGCGACGAUCCCUAGCUGGUCUGAGAGGAUGACCAGCCACACUGGAACUGAGACACGGCCCAGACUCCUACGGGAGGCAGCAGUGGGGAAUAUUGCACAAUGGGCGCAAGCCUGAUGCAGCCAUGCCGCGUGUAUGAAGAAGGCCUUCGGGUUGUAAAGUACUUUCAGCGGGGAGGCGUUACCCGCAGAAGAAGCACCGGCUAACUCCGUGCCAGCAGCCGCGGUAAUUC